ACUUCUGACCCAUCGUAGUGGUGGCUCAAGGGUGCAGGAUGAGUGGACACACACACACACCUCUGUAGGCUUGUUGACUGGAUGGAAUUUUCUGUAAUUGCAGCAAACGGGCCCCUGCGAGGCACCGGUUUCUCCUUUACGUGGCAGAUGGUCCGGCACUCUGCUGUUGCAUCAGUAUUUCAGUGUGGAGUCGAUUGAUGGGACUAUGUUUCAUGAAGCCAUUAGAAGACUGUUGCUGACUGAGAGGAGGUGGAUUUCUUCCAAAGCAGAGGGCAGAGGGGGCCGAGUCUGUGAAUGAAGAGAGAGCCUGGAACGUGUUUUGUCGGGAGAGUUCAACUGCGGGGCUUUGGGUUCAAAUCGAAUGACAUCGGGAAAUCAGAGCCUUGUGUUACAUGGAGGAAUUAGAUCUCUUGUGUUUUAUGUUAUUCUUGUCGAGGCUUUGCUCAAUACUCGUGGGGCAUUGCAUGCCGUCAGACACCUUGUGAGGCACCUACAGUGCCUUCAGAAAGUAUUCAUACCCGUUGACUUAUUUCAUAUUGUGUUACAGCCUGAAUUCAAAAUGGAUGAAAAAAAAAAACUCUCACCCAUCUUCACACAAUAAAUACCCUGUAAUAACAAAGUGAAAACAUGUUUUUAGACAUUUUUGCAAAUGUAUUGAAAAUGAAAUACAUAAAUUAGUGUGCACACCCCUGAGUCAAUGUGUCACACCCUGACCAUAGUUUGCUUUGUAUGUUCUAUGUUUUGUUUGGUCAGGGUGUGAUCUGAGUGGGCAUUCUAUGUUGGAUGUCUUGUUUGUCUGUUUCUGUGUUUGGGCCUGAUAUGGUUCUCAAUCAGAGGCAGGUGUUAGUCAUUGUCUCUGAUUGGGAACCAUAUUUAGGUAGCCUGUUUGGUGUUGGGUUUUGUGGGUGAUUGUCUCCUGUGUCAGUGUUUGUGCCACACAGGACUGGUUUGGGUUUACACGGUUUUUGUAGUUUAUUCAUGUAUAGUUUUCUUAUUAAAAAACAAACAUGAAUUUCAACCGCGCUGUAUUUUGGUCCUCCUCUCCUUCAACAGAAGAAUCCCGUUACACAAUGCAUGUUUAGAAUCCCCUUUGGCAGCGUUUACAGCUGUGAGUCUUUCUGGGUAAGUCUGGAUCAAUAAAAAACCCUAUUACGCAUU
Molecule: long non-coding RNA, 1158 nt
Organism: Oncorhynchus keta (chum salmon)
Lineage: Eukaryota; Metazoa; Chordata; Actinopteri; Salmoniformes; Salmonidae
Exons: 3
Source: RefSeq, a predicted model, not a curated record